RNAcentral lists this long non-coding RNA (1402 nucleotides) under Betula platyphylla (Asian white birch). The record is from RNAcentral. Lineage: Eukaryota; Viridiplantae; Streptophyta; Magnoliopsida; Fagales; Betulaceae.
CAUUAUUCUCUCCUCCACCUUAUGGACUCCUGUAGUAGCUGUAUACUAGUAGAAGAUGCCAAUUAAAAAAAAAAAACAAAAAACUCAUAGAAAACUACCGAAGAAAACAUCGUAACACAUUUUGAUAGUACUAUAAGAAAACAUGUGAGAAACUAAAUCGCUGCUCGCUUUUCUUUUGAGAGACACAAUAGAAGUUCAAGGUCGAACAGACAACGAGAUCAAGAUAACCUGCAAGAAACAGCUCACUUGACAAGGUUGGCAUGGAAACCACUCACCAAAUGAAGAACCAAUAAUAUUAAUUUUUAUAGAUUCAUAAAAAAGGUAAGGUGCAAAAGAUAACAACUAUAACUAUUUACAGUUACAAUCCGAUAUAGCAAAGGUAAAAGUUACAAAAACUGUCAUGAUAAGUUUACAAACUCUAGAAUUGAUCACUCGAGAUAAAUUUUCAUCUCUAGUCUCUUGAUCAUCAUUUCACUCUAAUUAAAGAGAUUACAAAAUACAUGAUAAAUUAAUUAAAGAGAUUACAAAAAGCUGCCGAUGGUGCUGAGUGAGUAGAUACAUUAACACUUACUGCUACUUUAAAUUCAUUUAAUCAAUUAGCGGCAUUUAGUUGAGUUUGGAAUUUAAAUGGUUUGAUUAUACUCACUGGUUACAGAAAUAAUGGUUGUGUAAGUAGGCCUUCAAGUUCAUCGCAAGCUUUAUUGCUCAGAACUUUCUGGAAAUGAAAUUGAAGAGAUGAGGGACAUUGUUUUCCAUUCGAAACUUGUCAGCUGUUGUUACUUCAGUGAAAUUGAGACUUUGGAGAGAGUAAGGAGCUAAGCUGCAGAUGUGGAGAUUGCUGACGAAUUACGUUUGACUACAUAAAUGCAUUACAUGAGUCCAAAAUUUAUUUGACAGGAGUGAAUAUAUGGAGUGGCCGUGUGCCUUAGAGGGGAUCCAUAAUCAAGAAAACAAAAAAAACUUGUAAGCGUUUUUAGAUUCUAUCAAUAUUAUCAUACCUAGGAUUUCUGGAUCUCUUCAGAACAGGUAAAAAUUGUUUGGAACCUUUAUAUGGAAUUAAAUAUUGUAUUUGUAAUCAUGAAUUGGCACAACUCUAGUUUAAAAGACAUUCAUGCAUAGGUAAUCGCUCAAUGUGCCAAAUAGUCAAUGUUGACACACAUUCCUGAAAAAAGAGGAGGGCGAACCUAGUGAUCUGUGUAUUUGUCACGUAAAGCAACCAGUUCUUGUUUGUACCUCAAUUUCGUAACCUGUUCGACCUCGAGUAGUUUGCAAUUGGAACUUGUUUGUCAUUAUCAUGGAUUGGUAUUUUCCUAUUUUUUGAACAUUAUUAAAAAUAUCAUCCUAAUUAAUUCCUUCUAAAAUACAUGAUAAAUACACAAAUGCAAGAAUAUCCUUAAUUUGG